GUAUCAUGGCUCAGAUUGAACGCUGGCAGCAGGCCUAACACAUGCAAGUCGAACGGUAACAGGAAGCAGCUUGAUGCUUCGCUGACGAGUGGCGGACGGGUGAGUAAUGUCUGGGAAACUGCCUGAUGGAGGGGGAUAACUACUGGAAACGGUAGCUAAUACCGCAUAACGUCGCAAGACCAAAGAGGGGGACCUUCGGGCCUCUUGCCAUCGGAUGUGCCCGAGAUGGGAUUAGCG
Molecule: ribosomal RNA, 237 nt
Filed under: uncultured bacterium
Lineage: Bacteria
Description: partial 16S ribosomal RNA
Rfam family: Bacterial small subunit ribosomal RNA
Source: RNAcentral